UCCCCCUUUGUCGAUGGCAUAUAUGUUUUAACUCAUGUCUAAUCAAUAUUCUAUUUUACCCUUAUGAGCAUGCUCCCUCUGAAUUAUUGACCCAUAAUAUUCAAUUUAAAAGCAGUGGAUCAUGCAUGAUUUCUCCCCCUUAAAACAAUAAGGUAUCGACAAAGUUAAAAAUAGAUACCUGUGAAGUAUCUCCCCCUUAAUGAUAGGACAUAUCUAAUUUGUGGAGAAAAUAAAAUUUCAUACCUCAUUGAGCUUUAAUCACAAAUUCGAUUUGUGUGGUUGACCAAAUGUGACGUCUUGCUUAUAAGAGUGUUAGUCAAUCAUAAAGGAGAAAUAACAUGUAAUUUAUGCUCAUUGAUAAAAUAUUGGAUUUAAGCCAAUUUUGAUAUACAUUAUAAGGCAAGUAUGAUAUGAUAAUUUAGAUUGCCUUGUGCUAAGAUCAUGCAAUGAAUAAUAAUCCAUGUGUGUGUUAUGGAUGAAGAUGAUCUUAACAUGUAUGGAUUAAAGAUUUUAUAAUGUUAUAAUCCAUAAGAUAUUAGUGAAUGAUAUGUAUAAAUCCAUA
Molecule: long non-coding RNA, 562 nt
Filed under: Zostera marina
Lineage: Eukaryota; Viridiplantae; Streptophyta; Magnoliopsida; Alismatales; Zosteraceae
Description: long non-coding RNA (ZMAR_LNC003775)
Source: RNAcentral